AUCACUUCCACAUCCUGUAAAAACAGAACCUACUUCGUCCUGAGGCUCAAACAGAAUUCUGCUUUCUUUUCAAAACAUUUUCUUUUUUAGUUUGAAGGCUUUUUAACAACUGUUAGUGUACAGAUGAUUUGGAUAUUAAAAUGUUUUUUUCCUGCCUCUAAAUGGAAAAUUAUCCUGCCAUUCAUGAUGUUGUUCUGCUACCGUGGAUCCUGUCAUGGGGAGAGGGACAAGAAAAUCAAGCAGGAGGGGACCAACACACCAUACAGCUCCUCAAGGAUAGAAGACUGCAC
This is a long non-coding RNA of Cyprinodon tularosa, 290 nucleotides long. RefSeq lists it as uncharacterized. Lineage: Eukaryota; Metazoa; Chordata; Actinopteri; Cyprinodontiformes; Cyprinodontidae. The record is from RefSeq and is a predicted model, not a curated record. The transcript is spliced from 4 exons.